RNAcentral lists this ribosomal RNA (265 nucleotides) under uncultured bacterium. Its description in RNAcentral is "partial 16S ribosomal RNA". It matches the Rfam family "Bacterial small subunit ribosomal RNA", at positions 793 to 1055 of the family's 1533-position model. The record is from RNAcentral.
GUCCACGCCGUAAACGAUGAGUGCUAGGUGUUGGGUCCUUUCCGGGACUCAGUGCCGCAGCUAACGCAUUAAGCACUCCGCCUGGGGAGUACGACCGCAAGGUUGAAACUCAAAGGAAUUGACGGGGGGCCCGCACAAGCGGUGGAGCAUGUGGUUUAAUUCGAAGCAACGCGAAGAACCUUACCAGGUCUUGACAUCCCUCUGACCGCUCUAGAGAUAGAGUUUUCCUUCGGGACAGAGGUGACAGGUGGUGCAUGGUUGUCGU